Molecule: ribosomal RNA, 422 nt
Filed under: uncultured bacterium
Lineage: Bacteria
Description: bacterial SSU rRNA
Rfam family: Bacterial small subunit ribosomal RNA
Source: RNAcentral
UGAGGAAUAUUGGUCAAUGGGUGCAAGCCUGAACCAGCCAUCCCGCGUGAAGGACGACUGCCCUAUGGGUUGUAAACUUCUUUUGUAUAGGGAUAAACCUACCCUCGUGAGGGUAGCUGAAGGUACUAUACGAAUAAGCACCGGCUAACUCCGUGCCAGCAGCCGCGGUAAUACGGAGGGUGCAAGCGUUAUCCGGAUUUACUGGGUGUAAAGGGUGCUCAGGCGGAUUUGUAAGUCAGAGGUGAAAUCUUACAGCUUAACUGUGAAACUGCCUUUGAUACUGCAAGCCUAGAGUAUGGAAGAGAGUGAUGGAAUAUCUGGUGUUGCAGUGAAAUGCGUAGAUAUCAGAUAGAACACCAAUGGCGAAGGCAGUCACUUGGUCCAUUACUGACGCUAAAGCACGAAAGCGUGGGUAGCAAACA